UUGAUGGAUGAGAGAGGAUGCGUGGAGAAAUGGGUGGACCGGCUGCAAGAGCCAUGCAGAGCCGUGGAAAGAAUGGGAUCGGCUGCAGAUUCCAUGGAGGGCAGAUAGAGCAAGGCCGCUUAGCUGGUUCCAGGGAUGCCGGGGCUAGAUCCAUGAAGAAACAUCAUCGAAGGCGACCCGGUGGGCAUAAGUCUACGUUUGGCUCUUGGCUUGUGUCUUUCAUUGAGAUAAGAUUGUCAAAUCAAUUGCUCCGUCCAUUUAUGGCCAUGAAUAGUCUAACAGGCGAUAUCAGUCUCCUCCUCCUGGGUGAUCCAGGCACUGCAAAAUCCCAAUUUCUAAAGUAAGGACAGAAUCAAUCACUUUUCAUCAUUUGAGAUUGCACCACUAAUUUUCCAUCUUUUAGGUAUGUGGAGAAAACAGGACACCGAGCAGUAUAUACAACUGGAAAAGGAGCCUCUGCUGUUAGUCUCACUGUAGCAGUUCACAAGGAUCCAGUAGCACGGGAAUAGACACUUGAGGGAGGUGCACUGGUUCUUGCUGAUAGGGGCAUAUGCCUUAUUGAUGAAUUUGACAAGAUGAACGAUCAAGAUAGCCAUGGAGCAACAGAGUAUCAGAAUAUCAAAGGCAGGAAUCAUCACAUCUCUUCAAGCUCGAUGCAGUGUUAUUGCUCCAGCAAAUCCAAUAGGCGGAAGUUUAUCUCCCUCGCUUGUGGGUAGUGUGAGGACACAAGGAGCAUAUUCUGCUGUGCCUCCUCCAGUUCAGGAAUUCAGAUGCCAAUGACGCUCCAUGGGAAGCUCAGCUUCGGCAUGAGAGGUGAGCUCUCACCUGCUGUUGUUCUGAACUAUUGACAUUUGCAUGCAGCUCCAAGUUCUCAGUUAGAGCAGAUUUAUCAGAACAAAUAAGCCUGGCAUUUGUAAGCCUUACAGAAGACAUCCAAAAAAGCUCAUAUGACUGUGAAGGCUAAAAUAUCUCCAGGGAAGUGUAGAAAAUUAUUGUUAGCUUGAUGGUUCAUGUCCUUCCGAGACAUCCAUUUGUAUGCCUGUAAUUUGGUCCAUAACCCUUCUAAUGGCAUGAUGAUUGAUGUCAAAGAAUUUAUUUUGUCAUGCCUGGUGCAGGUGAAGGCCAGCGUAUACAUGUUUUUUUCCUUCACUUUAUGCCAAUCAAUCAGUAGGAAGUUGGAGUCUGGAGAUUGAGGGGAAGAUUGAAAAACAAAGAGUGAUAUGAAUAGUAUUUAUGCUAAUAAAGUGUUUUUGGAACCAAAUUAUGUAGUAUUUAUGAUUGACAGCCUAUUUUUAAGUGUUUGUGAUAGGCCAAUGAAUUUCAGUUGCAAGAAACUAUGUGUUGGCCAACAUGUCAAAGACAGAAUUGAUCAAAUUGUACUGUACCGAAUAAUUAAUCUAAUCCAUGGGUGCUCGUCCAAUUUAAUCUUA
Panicum virgatum (switchgrass) is the source of this 1430-nucleotide long non-coding RNA. RefSeq lists it as uncharacterized. The transcript has 4 exons. NCBI's taxonomy places the organism in Eukaryota, Viridiplantae, Streptophyta, Magnoliopsida, Poales, Poaceae. The record is from RefSeq and is a predicted model, not a curated record.